UCGCUGCUUUCAGUGCCAUUGCUGGUGCUCCUGCUGCUAUCAGCCGUUAGGCAAGGCCAAGACUCAGUUUCGAUUCGGAUGCAGAUGCAAACGGACGCGUGCGCCUGUCUCUCCAGCAAAAGAAACAGUUAGCCAAAAGAUAACACGCAAUUUGAUCGUUUUUAAAAGAGAGAAACUUUCAAAUCAAAUUUUCUUCGAAAAUAGAUUGGAAAAUCAAGAGAAACGCUAGAAACUUGAAAAACAUGAAGACAGAAAAAAGUUCAAUUGCAUUGAAGUAAAGAAAACGCGCAAUGUUAUAUAUAUAUUUUUUUCAAGUAAUUUUUGUUGUUGUUUUGUAAGGUGAGAAAAAUAUUGAAAAAAAAAGAAGCGAAUUCGGCGAGAGAGAAAGUAAAAGAAAGUUUUGUGUGUGUUGCGGGACGGAAAUGAAGGAUGUCAGUUGUGUGCACAUCGAAGAAAGCAACGGAAAUUAAAAUUUGCAUGUGCAGCAGGACACAGGACAGAGGCGGACACCAGCGGACCGAGGGCUGCCGUGGGGCAGCGGCCAGAGAAUGUGGCCAAAGGACUGCAGCGGCUGCAGCAGCUGCAGCUGCUGUUGUUCAGCUAGCCAAGGCUCGAUGAAGCUGGCUAACGAAUUCGCCACUCAAAAACUCAGCUCGAUGCGAUUUUUUUGAAU
Drosophila navojoa is the source of this 673-nucleotide long non-coding RNA. The record is from RefSeq and is a predicted model, not a curated record. NCBI's taxonomy places the organism in Eukaryota, Metazoa, Arthropoda, Insecta, Diptera, Drosophilidae.